RNAcentral lists this long non-coding RNA (948 nucleotides) under Linum usitatissimum (flax). RNAcentral describes it as "long non-coding RNA (LUSI_LNC002525)". The record is from RNAcentral. Lineage: Eukaryota; Viridiplantae; Streptophyta; Magnoliopsida; Malpighiales; Linaceae.
AAAUAUAAUUUCCCCAGUUACCGAGUUCGUCGCUCGCGUGUCUCACUGUGUUUUUUCGAUUGUCCCUUAGUUCAUGGCCAUCUAAAACAUGAAUAUUACUCAAUUUGUGCUAUCGAAGGAAUCUUCAUGAAUGGUUACCGAGCUCUUUUACACAUUCAUUUCCUAACUUCGACGAGCAUAAUUACAUAUUUCCUCACGUCUAUGGUUUCUAUCGCUAUCUCUUUCUAAGAUUUUCUAUUUUUAAGAGACGUAAAAAUUAAUUAGGCUCAACUAAAAAUCAAUGCUCUAUUGUUCCCAGACUCAUAAAUUUUAAAGAUUUUUAAAAAGAAAAAGAAAUGAGAAGAAAGAAGAGUCGAGGCUCCCUUUCACAUCUUCACAUCUGUAUGCUUUUCUUUAUAAUUUUAUUUUUCUCACUUUUCUUCAUGCUUCUUGAUUCGUUAAAUUCUAAAUUUUUUUACAGAGACAAUGAAAGAAGAAGAAGAAAGAAGAGUUGAGGAAAAACAGGAAAAUCAUGAUCAAGAGGACUAUCUCAAUCUAUUCGCAUAGUAGCAAUCAUCUGACGAAGAAAUUGAGGAGGAGGAUGAGUUUGCCAAUGAAGAAGAAAAUGAGGAGGAGGAUGAUUUUACCAAUGAGGAAGAGGCUGAUUAGAAGAUUGACUACAUAAAUUCUCAGUCUCUUAGAUCAAAUUUGAAGUGUCAAUUCAGAUGCACGAGGAAAAAAUAGAAUGAAGAAGCUGCAGAUUGCUGUACUUCAAAGUGGGAGGCUGGUUUGUGUUUAAGCCAUUACUCUUAUAUAUAGUCAACUUAUGAAAGUCUUCUUCUUCCUUUUGUGUUUACAUGUGAGGAUCGAACUUGUGGUGUCAUGUGAGUAAUCACCCAAGUACUGUACUGACUGAUUAGUGAUUACUUACGUACUUGACUUGUUUGUUAUUCUCAUUUUCAAUCCGAU